RNAcentral lists this ribosomal RNA (468 nucleotides) under uncultured bacterium. RNAcentral's name for it is "partial 16S ribosomal RNA". It matches the Rfam family "Bacterial small subunit ribosomal RNA", at positions 28 to 523 of the family's 1533-position model. The record is from RNAcentral.
GAUGAACGCUGGCGGCGUGCCUAACACAUGCAAGUCGAGCGAUUCUCUUCGGAGAAGAGCGGCGGACGGGUGAGUAACGCGUGGGUAACCUGCCCUGUACACACGGAUAACAUACCGAAAGGUAUGCUAAUACGGGAUAACAUGAGAGAGUCGCAUGGCUUUUUUAUCAAAGCUCCGGCGGUACAGGAUGGACCCGCGUCUGAUUAGCUAGUUGGUGAGGUAAUGGCUCACCAAGGCGACGAUCAGUAGCCGACCUGAGAGGGUGAUCGGCCUAAUUGGAACUGCGACACGGUCCAAACUCCUACGGGAGGCAGCAUUGGGGAAUAUUGCACAAUGGGCGAAAGCCUGAUGCAGCAACGCCGCGUGAGCGAUGAAGGCCUUCGGGUCGUAAAGCUCUGUCCUCAAGGAAGAUAAUGACGGUACUUGAGGAGGAAGCCCCGGCUAACUACGUGCCAGCCGCCGCCGUAA